GACGAACGCUGGCGGCGUGCUUAACACAUGCAAGUCGAACGAAGAGCGACGGAAGCUUGCUUCUAUCAAUCUUAGUGGCGAACGGGUGAGUAACGCGUAAUCAACCUGCCCUUCAGGGGGGGACAACAGUUGGAAACGACUGCUAAUACCGCAUACGAUCUAACCUCGGCAUCGAGGAUAGAUGAAAGGUGGCCUCUACAUGUAAGCUAUCACUGAAGGAGGGGAUUGCGUCUGAUUAGCUAGUUGGAGGGGUAACGGCCCACCAAGGCGAUGAUCAGUAGCCGGUCUGAGAGGAUGAACGGCCACAUUGGGACUGAGACACGGCCCAGACUCCUACGGGAGGCAGCAGUGGGGAAUCUUCCGCAAUGGACGAAAGUCUGACGGAGCAACGCCGCGUGAGUGAUGACGGCCUUCGGGUUGUAAAGCUCUGUUAAUCGGGACGAAAGGCCUUCUUGCGAAUAGGGAGAAGGAUUGACGGUACCGGAAGAGAAAGCCACGGCUAACUACGUG
RNAcentral lists this ribosomal RNA (510 nucleotides) under uncultured bacterium. RNAcentral describes it as "partial 16S ribosomal RNA". It matches the Rfam family "Bacterial small subunit ribosomal RNA", at positions 28 to 507 of the family's 1533-position model. The record is from RNAcentral.